GCACAGAGUUAGCCGGUGCUUCCUUUGAGGGUACCGUCACUUCCCGGGGCUGUUAACCCCAGGAAUAUUCGUUCCCUCCGACAGAGCUUUACGACCCGAAGGCCUUCAUCCCCCACGCGGCGUCGCUGCGUCAGGCUUUCGCCCAUUGCGCAAUAUUCCUUACUGCUGCCUCCCGUAGGAGUCUGGCCCGUGUCGCAGUGCCAGUGUGGCUGAUCGUCCUCUCAGACCAGCUACCCGUCGUAGCCUUGGUGAGCCGUUACCUCACCAACAAGCUGAUAGGACAUGAGCCCAUCCAAGAGCGCGAUACCCACGGUAUCGCUUUCCUCCCUGAACCGAAGUCCAAGAAGCGUACGCGGUAUUAGCUAACCUUUCGGCUAGUUAUUCCCCACUCGAGGGUAGGUUACCCAUGUAUUCCCCACCCGUUCGCCGCUUUACAAACGUAUUGCUACGUCUUCUCGCUCGACUUGCAUGUAUUAGGCGCGCCGCCAGCGUUCGUU
RNAcentral lists this ribosomal RNA (497 nucleotides) under uncultured bacterium. Its description in RNAcentral is "partial 16S rRNA". The record is from RNAcentral.